Molecule: long non-coding RNA, 1012 nt
Filed under: Vitis vinifera (wine grape)
Lineage: Eukaryota; Viridiplantae; Streptophyta; Magnoliopsida; Vitales; Vitaceae
Description: long non-coding RNA (VVIN_LNC001924)
Source: RNAcentral
GUUCUAUCCUCUGUAAUAUUUUCUAUUGUAUAGUGGAAUUAUUCUCUCUCAUCCGUGGACGUAGGCAUGGUUAGCCGAACCACGUUAAAACCUCGUAUGUGUGAUUGUGUUUAUCUUUGUGUUCUUGAACUAUCAUUGUUGGCAUCAAAGCUUUCGCUGGCACUACAAUUGGUAUCAGAGCUUGGGUUGAAGAUUUCUGGAAGAGUAAAAAAUCACAAAGCACAUAAGAUGAAAACAAAAGGAAUUUUCACUGAAGGUGGAGUCAAUUGCUCUUUCGUGGUGAUAUGAUACAAAAAGGUUUGUGUCAUGGAGAGAUUGAAGAUUAACUUCAUGUAAUUUGGUCCAAGGUGGAGAUUGUUGGGAAUUGUCCCAAAUUCCUAAUUAGUAAAUAUUCCUUUUUGUAAAGAAUAUUGUAUAGAAUAUUUCUAGGUUGAUAUAUUAUUGUAAUAUUAGACUUCCUUAUAGAAUAAGGAAGGUUGUUGGAAAUAUCUCUAUAAAUAUUCUAGGUCAUGAGGGGAAAAAGUUAUGAGAUGGAGAUGAGCCUAUAGAGACUAUACGAGGUGGAUAGAGAUGUGAGGAAGAACGGGAGGUACCUGGUGGAGCGAGAGGGCUCGUAGUAAGGUAUGGAUACAAGGAGUGGGGAAACAUGGGAUGUUUCGGGAACCCAAUAGUUGUAUCUGGUUCUAUCCUCUGUAAUAUUUUCUAUUGUAUAGUGGAAUUAUUCUCUCUCAUCCGUGGACGUAGGCAUGGUUAGCCGAACCACGUUAAAACCUCGUAUGUGUGAUUGUGUUUAUCUUUGUGUUCUUGAACUAUCAUUGUUGGCAUCAAAGCUUUCGCUGGCACUACAGAAUUCAUGGGUUUUCUGAAUUGUUUUCACUAAGAAGGAGUUCACCCAGUACUCCUAGGCCUAAGAAGCUCGACAUUUCUUUGCAAACAUAAGAAGCACAGGCUGGAACUAUGGAGGCCAUAGGUUUUACAUGGUAAAAAGUGGGUUGACGGAGGAAUUGAGAAA